RNAcentral lists this ribosomal RNA (497 nucleotides) under uncultured bacterium. Its description in RNAcentral is "partial 16S ribosomal RNA". It matches the Rfam family "Bacterial small subunit ribosomal RNA", at positions 28 to 507 of the family's 1533-position model. The record is from RNAcentral.
GAUGAACGCUGGCGGCGUGCCUAAUACAUGCAAGUCGAGCGAACGAAGGUGGUGCUUGCCUCUCUUCUGUUAGCGGCGGACGGGUGAGUAACACGUGGCUAACCUGCCUUUGAGAAUGGGAUAACUUCGGGAAACCGAAGCUAAUACCGGAUCAUAUUUUGAACCGCAUGGUUCAACAGUGAAAGACGUUCUUGCUGUCCCUUAUUCAUGUAUCCGCGCUGCAUUAGCUAGUUGGUAAGGUAACGGCUUACCAAGGCAACGAUGCAUAGCGGACCUGAGAGGGUGAUCGGCCACACUGGAACUGAGACACGGUCAAGACUCCUACGGGAGGCAGCAGUGGGGAAUCUUGGGCAAUGGGCGAAAGCCUGACGGAGCAACGCCGCGUGAGUGAGGAAGGUCUUCGGAUCGUAAAACUCUGUUAUUAGGGAGGAAGAUAUGUGUAAGGAAAUGUGCAUAUAUUGACGGUACCUAAUCAGAAAGCCACGGCUAACUACGUG